RNAcentral lists this ribosomal RNA (190 nucleotides) under uncultured Glomeromycotina. RNAcentral describes it as "partial 18S ribosomal RNA". It matches the Rfam family "Eukaryotic small subunit ribosomal RNA", at positions 689 to 873 of the family's 1831-position model. Lineage: Eukaryota; Fungi; Glomeromycota. The record is from RNAcentral.
GGUUUUACUGAUUCCUCCCUCUUGAAGAACUGUAAUGCCAUUAAUUUGGUGUUGCAGGGAAUCAGGACUGUUACUUUGAAAAAAUUAGAGUGUUUAAAGCAGGCUUUAGCUUGAAUACAUUAGCAUGGAAUAAUGAAAUAGGACGUUUGAUCCUAUUUUGUUGGUUUCUAGGAUUGACGUAAUGAUUAAU